This 439-nucleotide ribosomal RNA is filed under the name uncultured bacterium. RNAcentral describes it as "partial 16S ribosomal RNA". It matches the Rfam family "Bacterial small subunit ribosomal RNA", at positions 339 to 795 of the family's 1533-position model. The record is from RNAcentral.
CUACGGGUCGCACCAGUGAGGAAUAUUGCACAAUGGGGGGAACCCUGAUGCAGCAACGCCGCGUGGAGGAUGACGCAUUUCGGUGUGUAAACUCCUUUUAUAUGUCAAGAAAAUGACGGUAGCAUAUGAAUAAGCACCGGCUAACUCCGUGCCAGCAGCCGCGGUAAUACGGAGGGUGCAAGCGUUACUCGGAAUCACUGGGCGUAAAGGACGCGUAGGCGGGUUGGAAAGUCAGGUGUGAAAUCCUACAGCUUAACUGUAGAACUGCACCUGAGACUUCUAAUCUAGAGUAUGGGAGGGGGAGAUGGAAUUAGUGGUGUAGGGGUAAAAUCCGUAGAUAUCACUAGGAAUACCUAAAGCGAAGGCGAUCUCCUGGAACAUUACUGACGCUAAGGCGUGAAAGCGUGGGGAGCAAACAGGAUUAGAUACCCGGGUAGUC